CACGCUGUAAACGAUGGAUACUAGACGUGGUGGGUCUUGACCCCUGCCGUGUCGAAGUUAACACGAUAAGUAUCCCGCCUGGGAAGUACGGUCGCAAGACUAAAACUCAAAGGAAUUGACGGGGGCCCGCACAAGCGGUGGAUCAUGUGGUUUAAUUCGAAGCAACGCGAAGAACCUUACCUGGAUUUGACAUCCUCUGAAGUUAGUAGAGAUAUUAACGGCCCGCAAGGGACAGAGAGACAGGUGC
Molecule: ribosomal RNA, 247 nt
Filed under: uncultured bacterium
Lineage: Bacteria
Description: partial 16S ribosomal RNA
Rfam family: Bacterial small subunit ribosomal RNA
Source: RNAcentral